UGCCAGCCGCCGCGGUAAUACGGAGGGGGCUAGCGUUGUUCGGAAUUACUGGGCGUAAAGGCGCGCGUAGGCGGGCUGGUCAGUUGGGGGUGAAAUCCCAGGGCUCAACCCUGGAACUGCCUCCAAAACUACUAGUCUUGAGUUCGAGAGAGGUGAGUGGAAUUCCGAGUGUAGAGGUGAAAUUCGUAGAUAUUCGGAGGAACACCAGUGGCGAAGGCGGCUCACUGGCUCGAUACUGACGCUGAGGUGCGAAAGUGUGGGGAGCAAACAGGUUUAGAUA
This 280-nucleotide ribosomal RNA is filed under the name uncultured bacterium. RNAcentral describes it as "partial 16S ribosomal RNA". It matches the Rfam family "Bacterial small subunit ribosomal RNA", at positions 506 to 784 of the family's 1533-position model. The record is from RNAcentral.